RNAcentral lists this ribosomal RNA (986 nucleotides) under Escherichia coli. Its description in RNAcentral is "partial 23S ribosomal RNA". It matches the Rfam family "Bacterial large subunit ribosomal RNA", at positions 211 to 1238 of the family's 2925-position model. Lineage: Bacteria; Pseudomonadati; Pseudomonadota; Gammaproteobacteria; Enterobacterales; Enterobacteriaceae. The record is from RNAcentral.
CCGAGGAAAAGAAAUCAACCGAGAUUCCCCCAGUAGCGGCGAGCGAACGGGGAGGAGCCCAGAGCCUGAAUCAGUGUGUGUGUUAGUGGAAGCGUCUGGAAAGGCGCGCGAUACAGGGUGACAGCCCCGUACACAAAAAUGCACAUAUUGUGAGCUCGAUGAGUAGGGCGGGACACGUGGUAUCCUGUCUGAAUAUGGGGGGACCAUCCUCCAAGGCUAAAUACUCCUGACUGACCGAUAGUGAACCAGUACCGUGAGGGAAAGGCGAAAAGAACCCCGGCGAGGGGAGUGAAAAAGAACCUGAAACCGUGUACGUACAAGCAGUGGGAGCCUCUUAAUGGGGUGACUGCGUACCUUUUGUAUAAUGGGUCAGCGACUUAUAUUCUGUAGCAAGGUUAACCGAAUAGGGGAGCCGAAGGGAAACCGAGUCUUAACUGGGCGUUAAGUUGCAGGGUAUAGACCCGAAACCCGGUGAUCUAGCCAUGGGCAGGUUGAAGGUUGGGUAACACUAACUGGAGGACCGAACCGACUAAUGUUGAAAAAUUAGCGGAUGACUUGUGGCUGGGGGUGAAAGGCCAAUCAAACCGGGAGAUAGCUGGUUCUCCCCGAAAGCUAUUUAGGUAGCGCCUCGUGAAUUCAUCUCCGGGGGUAGAGCACUGUUUCGGCAAGGGGGUCAUCCCGACUUACCAACCCGAUGCAAACUGCGAAUACCGGAGAAUGUUAUCACGGGAGACACACGGCGGGUGCUAACGUCCGUCGUGAAGAGGGAAACAACCCAGACCGCCAGCUAAGGUCCCAAAGUCAUGGUUAAGUGGGAAACGAUGUGGGAAGGCCCAGACAGCCAGGAUGUUGGCUUAGAAGCAGCCAUCAUUUAAAGAAAGCGUAAUAGCUCACUGGUCGAGUCGGCCUGCGCGGAAGAUGUAACGGGGCUAAACCAUGCACCGAAGCUGCGGCAGCGACACUAUGUGUUGUUGGGUAGGGGAGCG